This 1458-nucleotide ribosomal RNA is filed under the name Pelagibacterales bacterium SAG-MED27. RNAcentral's name for it is "partial 23S ribosomal RNA". It matches the Rfam family "Bacterial large subunit ribosomal RNA", at positions 1 to 1516 of the family's 2925-position model. Lineage: Bacteria; Pseudomonadati; Pseudomonadota; Alphaproteobacteria; Candidatus Pelagibacterales. The record is from RNAcentral.
AAAUCAAGCGUUUAAGGGCGUGUAGUGGAUGCCUUGGCACUGAAAGCCGAUGAAGGACGUGAUAUACUGCGAUAAGUUUCGGGGAGCUGUAUGUAAGUUUUGAUCCGAAAAUUUCCGAAUGGGGAAACCCACCACUUUAUGUGGUACUUUAAACUGAAUACAUAGGUUUAAAGAGACAACCUGGAGAACUGAAACAUCUAAGUAACCAGAGGAAAAGAAAUCAAUUGAGAUUCCGUUAGUAGUGGCGAGCGAACGCGGACUAGGCCAGUAGUUUUGUUAAAAAAAUUUGAAUAGUUUGGAAAUGCUAACCAUAGAGGGUGAUAGUCCCGUAUGAGUAAUGUUUAACAAAAUUCUUGAGUAAAGCGGGACACGUGAAAUCCUGCUCGAAUAUAGGGGGACCACCCUCUAAGCCUAAAUACUCUUCAGUGACCGAUAGUGAACUAGUACCGUGAGGGAAAGGUGAAAAGAACCCCUAUUAGGGGAGUGAAAUAGAACCUGAAACUGCAUGCCUACAAUCAGUCGAAGCUCUUUUUAGAGUGACGGCGUACCUUUUGUAUAAUGGGUCAGUGACUUAAUUUAUAAAGCAAGCUUAAGCCAUCUAGGUGUAGGCGCAGCGAAAGCAAGUCUUAAUAGGGCGAUUAGUUUUAUGAAUUAGACCCGAAAACGAAUGAGCUUACCAUGAGCAGGUUGAAAGUUGGGUAACACCAACCGGAGGACCGAACCAGUUGACGUUGAAAAGUCUUUGGAUGACUUGUGGUAAGGGGUGAAAGGCCAACCAAAUUCGUAGAUAGCUGGUUUUCCGCGAAAACUAUUUAGGUAGUGCGUUGAAUAAAUAGAUGUUUAGAGGUAGAGCACUAAAUGGGCUAGGGGGAAGAGAUUCUUACCAAACCUAAUAAAACUCCGAAUGCUAGACAUUGUUCUUCAACAGACAGACUGUGGGUGCUAAGGUCCAUGGUCGAGAGGGAAAGAGCCCAGACCACCAGAUAAGGUCCCAAAAUUAUGAUUAAGUGUGAAAGGAUGUGGAAAUUCCUUAACAGCCGGGAGGUUGGCUUAGAAGCAGCCAUCCUUUAAAGAUAGCGUAACAGCUCACCGGUCUAAUAGAGUUUCUGCGCCGAAGAUGUAACGGGGCUAAAAUCAUAUACCGAAUCUGUGGGUUUAUAAAACUUUCGAGUUUUAUAAGCGGUAGCGGAACGUUCUGUAAGCCUGUGAAGGGAUACCCGUGAGGGAUCCUGGAGGUAUCAGAAGUGCGAAUGCUGACAUAAGUAACGAUAAAAGAAGUGAAAAACUUCUUCGCCGAAAAUCCAAGGGUUUCUGCGCAAGGUUAAUCCGCGCAGAGUUAGUCGGCACCUAAGGCGAGGGCGAAAGCCGUAGUCGAUGGAAAUAAGGUUAAUAUUCCUUAACCAGAUGGUAGUGACGGAUCUUGUAAGUUGUGUGCUCUUAAUGGAUUGAGUAUGCCGC